Spinacia oleracea (spinach) is the source of this 2173-nucleotide long non-coding RNA. RefSeq lists it as uncharacterized. NCBI's taxonomy places the organism in Eukaryota, Viridiplantae, Streptophyta, Magnoliopsida, Caryophyllales, Amaranthaceae. The transcript has 3 exons. The record is from RefSeq and is a predicted model, not a curated record.
UUGACCUACCUGCUCGGCUGCUCCUAUACCCUUUCUCUCUCAUAUUCUCUCAUACAAUCUCCUCUAAGUCUCUAACCAUCCUACCCCUGUUUUUCCAUUUUAAUUAUCUGAAAAAUCAAGCUCGAUCUGCGAAUAACAUGGCACGAACCGCUGCGAAGAAGGAGACGUCUCGAAGCAAAAAUUCCAACAUUUCCAUGUCUCAAAUCUGGUUUAUCAAUCGAAGGUUGAGAGGCAAGCUUCAUCAAAGACGAAGUAUAAUUAAAGUUUAAUCUUAGUUGUUGGGAUGAAUUCGUGGAGGGAUCCGUGAAAUCAUUUCGUGCCGAUCUUGGAUCUACUCGUUAUUCGAUGAUAUCGGCAGUGUGAUGGAAAAUUAGUUCUCAAACUCACCGAUUACAUGGAGGUAUUACUCAGUUUCUUUUUACCUACUUUUUCUGGAAUUUUAGGGGUUUUUCUAUGUCAGGUUCCAAAUUGUUUGGUUUUACUACAAUGUUAGAACUAAUGGAUUGGAAUUAUGCAAUAUUUUUUUGUAGAUCUUAUUGAUCUUAUUCUAAAAUGAAAAUAUCAUUGGUUGUGUUAAAAUAAUUUAUACGACAAUUCACUUUCACAGGGAAUUAGUUGCUUUGGUUUCUUACUUUCUGAAAAUUCAUGCUUUCCUAGGUGGUAAUCUAUCUUGCAUUACAGAAUUGGCUAAUCAAACUAAGCUGUUUCUUACUUCUGAUUUUAUUCGAACACCUUCACUGCAUUUGUAGUGGAAAAUGUAUGCACGUAUACCUGGUGUUAUUCACUUGUUUUCUAAAUGGACUUCUCGGCAUUACUUGAUAAAUCUUAUUAAUCAAUCAAACUUCAUCUUAUUCCCUAUAUCUUCUCAUUUUAUCUCCUAAAUCUGUCCAAAUCCAUGUUAGUUCAUAGCAAUUGACCAUCAAACUAAGUUGCCAUUAAGGCAAAUUCUUAUUUUCGCUCUGCUGGAAAAUUUUAGCUGUGGUCAUUGUUACUACUCUAAACUACCUAGAUAAAUUAUCUGCAAGUUGUGUAUAGAUUUUCCAUAGUCCAAAUUGACCAAUGAACCUCCUAAGUGCACCUCACGGUGGACUUGUAGCUAAUUCUUAGGUUCACCAAUCCCAACCUCCCUAGUUUCAAGUAACACAGGUCAUCGUGUUGGCAUGUGAAUCAUCAGUCUACUCUGAAAGCAAUGUUCUUCAAUUGCCAGAAAUUUAUGGUUUAAACCAAAUCCUCCAUCCUUGCGCCUUUGCAGUUUCUAUAUUCUCCAUUUCUCCAUCAGGCUAGUCGUAUAAAGUUUUUUUAUUUGGAUAUGAAUGCUACCUUGUUUAACCAUAAUUCAUACUCUUCCUUUUAUCUCAUACUUUUGUGAUGCAUAUUAUGGGAAAUUCUUUUUUCUUUUGCAACAGUGCCACUCAAUAAUCAUUCCAUUUCUGUGAAUGAUGUGAUUCUGCAAGCAUAACAUAGCUAGAUUCACUAUUGUGAGCAUCCACCAGAAGUUGAAAAUAGGGAAUGGUAUCAAACCAUUGUUCGGAGUUUCAUUUUCGUGAUCGUCCCUUUUUCCAAUUGUAGAACAUAGCUUGUAUGAGCAAGCCUCUAGGCUCAUGCUAGCCUCAGCAGUUAGCACUAUGAUAGCUGCUUUAGCGUUUAGGUUAUAACUAGAAAUCGAAUUAGAGCUGGUUCCUAGAAUCAGGGGAAGUGCUGAAGUGGAGCAUUGUGUUUCAUGAUAUAGAUUUUUAGCUUUGCUCAAAUCACAUAUAUUUUACUAACUUUCUGUCAACGUAUCCUAGUAAUGAUAGAAGUCUUUGAAUAGUAUCUCUAAGAGUCUUAGGAAACAAUACAAAUGACAAGAAGAAGGUAUUGUUAAAAGAAGAAGAAAAGAUUAGGAUGUUCGAGUUGUAAUUUGUAAACUGUCAUGCUUGAUUCUUGAGCUUUAUGGUCUGGGUUAGUGGGUUACUGUUGGUGUUUUUUUUAUUUUUGUUGCUUGUUCUGCGUAUAUUCAGUGUUGUUUGUUUUGCGUAUAUGAAGUACCUGUCAUUAUUAUUUGUUCUGCAUAUUGUUAAAUAAAUGUUGUGAGAUGCAUGGGUAGUGUGUUGCAUUUGUGGCUGCUUUGUCUGAACAGCUUAUAUGUGCUCCUUUUAUGCGUUAAUGCUCUCUCUUGACUUUUCUUCUCACG